RNAcentral lists this ribosomal RNA (497 nucleotides) under uncultured bacterium. RNAcentral's name for it is "partial 16S ribosomal RNA". It matches the Rfam family "Bacterial small subunit ribosomal RNA", at positions 28 to 507 of the family's 1533-position model. The record is from RNAcentral.
GAUGAACGCUGGCGGCGUGCCUAAUACAUGCAAGUCGAGCGAACAGAUGAGGAGCUUGCUCCUCUGACGUUAGCGGCGGACGGGUGAGUAACACGUGGAUAACCUACCUAUAAGGCUGGGAUAACUUCGGGAAACCGGAGCUAAUACCGGAUAAUAUAUUGAACCGCAUGGUUCAAUAGUGAAAGACGGUUUUGCUUUCACUUAUCGAUGGAUCCGCGCCGCAUUAGCUAGUUGGUAAGGUAACGGCUUACCAAGGCAACGAUGCGUAGCCGACCUGAGAGGGUGAUCAGCAACACAGGAAGUGAGACACGGUCCAGAAUCCAAAGGGAGGCAGCAGUAGGGAAUCUUCGGCAAUGGGCGAAAGCGUGAAGGAGCAACGCCGCGUGAGGGAUGAAGGUCUUCGGAUCGUAAAACUCUGUUAUAAGGGAAGAACAAAUGUGUAAGUAACUAUGCACUACUUGAAGGUACCUAAUCAGAAAGCAACGGCUAACUACGUG